Phyllopteryx taeniolatus (common seadragon) is the source of this 575-nucleotide long non-coding RNA. RefSeq lists it as uncharacterized. Lineage: Eukaryota; Metazoa; Chordata; Actinopteri; Syngnathiformes; Syngnathidae. The transcript is spliced from 5 exons. The record is from RefSeq and is a predicted model, not a curated record.
AGACACUCGUGUCUUGCCCAGGUGUGCUUCGUUAUAGUCUGUCUGUAUUUAUUUUCCUUUUUUUCGUUAACUCUUCCUUUUUGCAUUGUCAUCGGUCGUGUCGUGUCAUGUCGCCCGUGGUGGCUACUUUCUGGUUCAUAGAGGAUGACAGUUGAGCCAUUGGUGCUAAAGAAAAUUGACUGGAACAAAAUGGAGACUGCGGAGUAUAAUAAUGCUGCAUCAGCACUCAGGCAAUAUGUGUUCAGCUCCUUCAUUUGAUCUUCUGUGUUGUCAUGACAGGCUGCUUCUGACGUUCCUGUAAAACCAGAAUUGGCUGCGUUCUUGUCAAACUGGCUGCUGCGAAAAAGCUAAUUAACGACACAACUUCAAAGCGAGGCUUGGCCAAAGAGUUUUGUAAGGUCACCCUCUCCAGAGCCAAAAGGGCACAUCAAUUUUGGAGCCCUCGUGAGGAGGCGCCACAUAUUCUCCUCGAUCACUAGCCCCCUGCGGAGAAACGACAUCUGAAGGUGCACUUGAUUUGUGUGAAACCUAGUACCCUGCAUGAUCAGAAUAGAAAAUAAACAGACCGAACAGGA